This 253-nucleotide ribosomal RNA is filed under the name uncultured bacterium. Its description in RNAcentral is "partial 16S ribosomal RNA". It matches the Rfam family "Bacterial small subunit ribosomal RNA", at positions 524 to 776 of the family's 1533-position model. The record is from RNAcentral.
UACGGAGGGUGCAAGCGUUGCUCGGAAUCACUGGGCGUAAAGCGACCGCAGGCGGCCUGACAAGUCGGAUGUGAAAGCCCUGGGCUCAACUCAGGAAUUGCAUUCGAAACUGGUAGGCUCGAGUACGGGAGAGGGGGGUGGAAUUCCUGGUGUAGGGGUGAAAUGCGUAGAUAUCGGGAGGAACACCAGUGGCGAAGGCGACUUUCUGGCCUGUUCUUGACGCUGAGGCGCGAAAGCUAGGGGAGCAAACGGG